This 492-nucleotide ribosomal RNA is filed under the name uncultured bacterium. RNAcentral describes it as "partial 16S ribosomal RNA". It matches the Rfam family "Bacterial small subunit ribosomal RNA", at positions 29 to 507 of the family's 1533-position model. The record is from RNAcentral.
AGUGAACGCUGGCGGUAGGCCUAACACAUGCAAGUCGAACGGCAGCACAGUAAGAGCUUGCUCUUACGGGUGGCGAGUGGCGGACGGGUGAGGAAUACAUCGGAAUCUACUUUUUCGUGGGGGAUAACGUAGGGAAACUUACGUUAAUACCGCAUACGACCUACGGGUGAAAGCAGGGGAACUUCGGACCUUGCGCGAUUGAAUGAGCCGAUGUCGGAUUAGCUAGUUGGCGGGGUAAAUGCCCACCAAGGCGACGAUCCGUAGCUGGUCUGAGAGGAUGAUCAGCCACACUGGAACUGAGACACGGUCCAGACUCCUACGGGAGGCAGCAGUGGGGAAUAUUGGACAAUGGGCGCAAGCCUGAUCCAGCCAUACCGCGUGGGUGAAGAAGGCCUUCGGGUUGUAAAGCCCUUUUGUUGGGAAAGAAAAGCAGCAGGUUAAUACCCCGCUGUUCUGACGGUACCCAAAGAAUAAGCACCGGCUAACUUCGUG